RNAcentral lists this transfer RNA (66 nucleotides) under chicken gut metagenome. It matches the Rfam family "tRNA", at positions 7 to 64 of the family's 71-position model. Rfam says of the family: Transfer RNA (tRNA) molecules are approximately 80 nucleotides in length. Their secondary structure includes four short double-helical elements and three loops (D, anti-codon, and T loops). The record is from RNAcentral.
CAUGUAGCUCAGUUGGUCAGAGCAUCGGAUUGUGGUUCCGAGGGUCGUGGGUUCGAACCCCACCCU